GAUGAACGCUGGCGGCGUGCCUAAUACAUGCAAGUCGAGCGAACAGACGAGGAGCUUGCUCCUCUGACGUUAGCGGCGGACGGGUGAGUAACACGUGGAUAACCUACCUAUAAGACUGGGAUAACUUCGGGAAACCGGAGCUAAUACCGGAUAAUAUAUUGAACCGCAUGGUUCAAUAGUGAAAGACGGUUUUGCUGUCACUUAUAGAUGGAUCCGCGCCGCAUUAGCUAGUUGGUAAGGUAACGGCUUACCAAGGCAACGAUGCGUAGCCGACCUGAGAGGGUGGUCGGCCACACUGGAACUGAGACACGGUCCAGACUCCUACGGGAGGCAGCAGUGGGGAAUCUUCCGCAAUGGGCGAAAGCCUGACGGAGCAACGCCGCGUGAGUGAUGAAGGUCUUCGGAUCGUAAAACUCUGUUAUUAGGGAAGAACAAAUGUGUAAGUAACUAUGCACGUCUUGACGGUACCUAAUCAGAAAGCCACGGCUAACUACGUG
This 497-nucleotide ribosomal RNA is filed under the name uncultured bacterium. RNAcentral describes it as "partial 16S ribosomal RNA". It matches the Rfam family "Bacterial small subunit ribosomal RNA", at positions 28 to 507 of the family's 1533-position model. The record is from RNAcentral.